This 449-nucleotide ribosomal RNA is filed under the name uncultured organism. RNAcentral's name for it is "partial 16S ribosomal RNA". It matches the Rfam family "Bacterial small subunit ribosomal RNA", at positions 332 to 797 of the family's 1533-position model. The record is from RNAcentral.
UACACUCCUGCGGGAGGCAGCAGUGGGGAAUAUUGGACAAUGGGCGCAAGCCUGAUCCAGCCAUGCCGCGUGAGUGAUGAAGGCCCUAGGGUUGUAAAGCUCUUUCACCGGAGAAGAUAAUGACGGUAUCCGGAGAAGAAGCCCCGGCUAACUUCGUGCCAGCAGCCGCGGUAAUACGAAGGGGGCUAGCGUUGUUCGGAAUUACUGGGCGUAAAGCGCACGUAGGCGGAUCGAUCAGUCAGGGGUGAAAUCCCAGGGCUCAACCCUGGAACUGCCUUUGAUACUGUCGAUCUGGAGUAUGGAAGAGGUGAGUGGAAUUCCGAGUGUAGAGGUGAAAUUCGUAGAUAUUCGGAGGAACACCAGUGGCGAAGGCGGCUCACUGGUCCAUUACUGACGCUGAGGUGCGAAAGCGUGGGGAGCAAACAGGAUUAGAAACCCGUGUAGUCCCA